RNAcentral lists this ribosomal RNA (918 nucleotides) under Triticum aestivum (bread wheat). RNAcentral describes it as "partial small subunit ribosomal RNA". Lineage: Eukaryota; Viridiplantae; Streptophyta; Magnoliopsida; Poales; Poaceae. The record is from RNAcentral.
GAAAAUUCAAUGAUGUCCAUAUUACAUACCAACAACAUGGUACGUCCUCUGUUAGCCAUCCUCCUCCUGUCAUCAGCUUUGAACCACUUGUCAUCUGCUGCAACACUAGCUGAUAGUAGCACCCACACCAGCAGAGAUGCUCUGCUCUGCCUCAAGUCCCGCCUUGGCGGUACCACACUGGCCAUGGCUACGUGGAACGACGGUGCCUCACCGGAUUUCUGCACUUGGCUUGGGGUCACAUGUACAAGGAGGAAAGGGCAACCACCCCUCGUGGUGGACUUGGAUAUGGAAGCCGAAGGACUCUCCGGUGAGAUCCCACCAUGCAUCUCCAACCUCACUUCUCUGGUAAGAAUCCACUUGCCCAACAACCAGCUCUCCGGCCAUAUCCCGUCGGAACUUGGUCGGCUCUCUGGACUCAGGUACCUCAACCUCAGCGUCAACACGCUCAGCGGCACCAUCCCUCUCAGUCUUGGUGCGCUUCACAACCUUUCUUCUCUAGACUUGGGUAGCAAUGGACUAUCCGGUGAAAUUCCACCUUUCAUGAAGUCAAAGCUCACAUACCUAAGUCUAGUCGGAAACAGCCUUACCGGAGUCGUGUCGCCAUCGAUGGCAAAUCUCUCAUCCCUUACAUACCUCUUGCUUGCGCAAAACCAGUUGCAAGGAUCCAUUCCUGAUUUGGGUGAGCUGUCAAGCCUACAAAACCUUGAUCUCUCCUACAACAAUCUAUCAGGGACAGUACCGCCCUCCAUUUACAAUUUGUCCUCAUUAAACUACCUUGGGUUGUCCAACAAUAAUCUUGGAGGAACACUACCUUCUGGUAUGGGCAACACACUUCCUAACAUCCAAAUACUGAUGAUGCAUAAUAAUCAUUUUGAGGGGGCUAUCCCAGCCUCGCUGCAGAAUGCCUCCAGCAUGACG